AACGUAGGAGGCGAGCGUUAUCCGGAUUUACUGGGUGUAAAGCGCGUGCAGGCGGUGGAGUAAGUUAUGCGUGAAAGCGCCUGGCUCAACCGGGCGAGGACGUGUGAAACUACUCGACUAGAGGCAGGGAGAGGCGUGUGGAAUUCCGGGUGUAGUGGUGAAAUGCGUAGAGAUCCGGAGGAACACCAGUGGCGAAGGCGACACGCUGGGCCUGGCCUGACGCUCAGACGCGACAGCAUGGGGAGCGAACGGG
Molecule: ribosomal RNA, 253 nt
Filed under: uncultured bacterium
Lineage: Bacteria
Description: partial 16S ribosomal RNA
Rfam family: Bacterial small subunit ribosomal RNA
Source: RNAcentral